This 92-nucleotide transfer RNA is filed under the name Pasteurella testudinis. Its description in RNAcentral is "tRNA-Ala(agc)". The record is from RNAcentral. Lineage: Bacteria; Pseudomonadati; Pseudomonadota; Gammaproteobacteria; Pasteurellales; Pasteurellaceae.
CUGCCAGUUUGGUGAACGGACCAUCGCCGCUUAGCUUGCCGCUGGUUAACGCCUUGGCAAUGUGUUGUUGUUCUGUGCCGACAACCGGCGGU